RNAcentral lists this ribosomal RNA (508 nucleotides) under uncultured bacterium. RNAcentral describes it as "bacterial SSU rRNA". It matches the Rfam family "Bacterial small subunit ribosomal RNA", at positions 353 to 853 of the family's 1533-position model. The record is from RNAcentral.
AGUGGGGAAUAUUGGACAAUGGGCGCAAGCCUGAUCCAGCAAUACCGCGUGUGUGAAGAAGGCCUGAGGGUUGUAAAGCACUUUCAAUUGGGAGGAAAACCUGCUGAGAUAAUAUCAGGCAGCUUGACAUUACCUUUAGAAGAAGCACCGGCUAACUCCGUGCCAGCAGCCGCGGUAAUACGGAGGGUGCAAGCGUUAAUUGGAAUUACUGGGCGUAAAGCGUACGUAGGCGGUUAGUUAAGUUAGAUGUGAAAGCCCCGGGCUUAACCUGGGAACUGCAUUUAAAACUGGCAAACUAGAGUUGAGUAGAGGGGAGUGGAAUUUCAGGUGUAGCGGUGAAAUGCGUAGAGAUCUGAAGGAACACCAGUGGCGAAGGCGACUCCCUGGACUCAAACUGACGCUGAGGUACGAAAGCGUGGGUAGCAAACGGGAUUAGAUACCCCGGUAGUCCACGCCGUAAACGAUGUCAACUAACUGUUGGGACCUUCAAGGUCUUAGUGGUGGAGCU